Molecule: long non-coding RNA, 619 nt
Filed under: Homo sapiens (human)
Lineage: Eukaryota; Metazoa; Chordata; Mammalia; Primates; Hominidae
Description: HSALNT0355913
Source: RNAcentral
UUCCGUUUUCUGUAUCUCACUUCCGCAAUGGUCCCCACCUUGCCUGGAGACCAAGCUUUCUUUGCAGGCCUCAUCAAGUGUGCUUGUGGCUUCAUCAAUAAAAUUUGGAAGCAAUUAAUUUGGAGGAGGAAAGAGUCUAAGUAAGAUGCCUAACAGAUCUUGGUGCGUUGACAACCUUGAAACUUGAUGUUAAUGGACAGGUACAAAGAUGAAGAUGAGCUGAACAGUCUUAGUGGUUGAAGCUGCUGCAUGUAAGAUAAGCAUGUUAAAUCCAUGCCAUGUAUACUGCAAAUCCCAAUCCUGUGCACAAAGCAGGCAUUGCUAAGAAGACCCUGCUGUAUUUAAAAAGCCUAGAUGCACUGAUAGAACCCUCAACACAGGACUCCAGCCAUGGACUACCAUUGGUUCAGAGCUGCCAGUCCAGUAGUAGCUUAUGCAUCACCUACGGUAGAGUGGAAACUCUCCUGCACACGCCAGUCACUCCAAGGGCACUUUAAUUAAAACCACACAAAAUUUUUGUAGAUAACAAUAAACUUGAUUAUGGAUAAAUCAUGAAAUCAAUAAAUAUAGAGUUCCUGGUACUCACCACCACCACCCCUUCUCUAAUUUUUUUUCAAAU